RNAcentral lists this ribosomal RNA (461 nucleotides) under uncultured bacterium. Its description in RNAcentral is "partial 16S ribosomal RNA". It matches the Rfam family "Bacterial small subunit ribosomal RNA", at positions 28 to 523 of the family's 1533-position model. The record is from RNAcentral.
GACGAACGCUGGCGGCGUGCUUAACACAUGCAAGUCGAACGAUGAAGUCUAGCUUGCUAGAUGGAUUAGUGGCGCACGGGUGAGUAACACGUGGGAAUCUGCCCUUGGGUACGGAAUAGCUCCGGGAAACUGGAAAUAAUACCGUAUGAUGUCUUCGGACCAAAGAUUUAUCGCCCAAGGAUGAGCCCGCGUCUGCUCAGGUAGUUGGUGGGGUAAUGGCCUACCAAGCCGACGAUCAGUAGCUGGUCUGAGAGGAUGAUCAGCCACACUGGGACUGAGACACGGCCCAGACUCCUACGGGAGGCAGCAGAGGGGAAUCUUGGACAAUGGGGGAAACCCUGAUCCAGCCAUGCCGCGUGAGUGAAGAAGGCCUUAGGGUUAUAAAGCUCUUUUAAUCGGGAAGAUAAUGACGGUACCGAUAGAAUAAGCACCGGCUAACUUCGUGCCAGCCGCCGCCGUAA